This 279-nucleotide ribosomal RNA is filed under the name uncultured Staphylococcus sp. RNAcentral's name for it is "partial 16S ribosomal RNA". It matches the Rfam family "Bacterial small subunit ribosomal RNA", at positions 83 to 355 of the family's 1533-position model. The record is from RNAcentral. Lineage: Bacteria; Bacillati; Bacillota; Bacilli; Caryophanales; Staphylococcaceae.
CCUUUGACGUUAGCUGCGGACGGGUGAGUAACACGUGGGUAACCUACCUAUAAGACUGGGAUAACUUCGGGAAACCGGAGCUAAUACCGGAUAAUAUUUCGAACCGCAUGGUUCGAUAGUGAAAAGUGGUUUUGCUAUCACUUAUAGAUGGACCCGCGCCGUAUUAGCUAGUUGGUAAGGUAACGGCUUACCAAGGCGACGAUACGUAGCCGACCUGAGAGGGUGAUCGGCCACACUGGAACUGAGACACGGUCCAGACUCCUACGGGAGGCAGCAGCC